This 419-nucleotide unclassified non-coding RNA is filed under the name Hevea brasiliensis (rubber tree). The record is from RNAcentral. Lineage: Eukaryota; Viridiplantae; Streptophyta; Magnoliopsida; Malpighiales; Euphorbiaceae.
AUCAGCAGCAGCAGGAGGUCGCGCUACCUUCCCUGACUCGAUCGUCAGCAAGUCGCAGCAGCAGCAGCAAACUUCGGCAGCAGCAACAGAAAACUCUGGUAGCAGCACAAACUCCGGCAGAUUAGGGAAAUGAACACGGAAGAAAAAAGAUUUAAUCAAGAAGAGGAGGAUGAGGAAGAAAAUGGGAGAGGUCGAGAAGCAUGGGAAAGAACUUAUGCAGAUGAAAGAUCAUGGGAGUCUUUACAAGAGGAUGAAUCAGGACUCCUUCGUCCAAUUGACAACAAAACUCUAUCCCAUGCUCAGUAUCGACGACGUCUCCGCACUGCAACUGCUGCACGAAUUCAGAAGGGUUUGAUUCGGUACCUCUACAUUAUCAUUGAUUUCUCCAGGGCAGCUGCAGAAAUGGAUUAUAAACCAAG